RNAcentral lists this ribosomal RNA (253 nucleotides) under uncultured bacterium. Its description in RNAcentral is "partial 16S ribosomal RNA". It matches the Rfam family "Bacterial small subunit ribosomal RNA", at positions 524 to 776 of the family's 1533-position model. The record is from RNAcentral.
UACGUAGGGUGCAAGCGUUAAUCGGAAUUACUGGGCGUAAAGCGUGCGCAGGCGGUUAUGUAAGACAGGUGUGAAAUCCCAGGGCUUAACCUUGGAACUGCAUUUGUGACUGCAUAGCUAGAGUACGGUAGAGGGGGAUGGAAUUCCGCGUGUAGCAGUGAAAUGCGUAGAUAUGCGGAGGAAUACCGAUGGCGAAGGCAGCCCCCUGGGAUGACACUGACGCUCAUGCACGAAAGCGUGGGGAGCAAACAGG